RNAcentral lists this ribosomal RNA (923 nucleotides) under uncultured Ascomycota. RNAcentral describes it as "eukaryotic LSU rRNA". The stretch from base 275 to 923 matches the Rfam family "Eukaryotic large subunit ribosomal RNA", at positions 1 to 664 of the family's 3401-position model. Lineage: Eukaryota; Fungi; Ascomycota. The record is from RNAcentral.
AUCGAUGAAGAACGCAGCGAAAUGCGAUAAGUAAUGUGAAUUGCAGAAUUCAGUGAAUCAUCGAAUCUUUGAACGCACAUUGCGCCCUCUGGUAUUCCGGAGGGCAUGCCUGUUCGAGCGUCAUUACAACCCUCAAGCUCUGCUUGGCCUUGGGCGUCACCGGCAACGGUGGGCCCCAAACUCAGUGGCGGUGCCGUCUGGCUCUAAGCGUAGUAAUUCUUCUCGCUAUAGAUGUCCGGUGGAUGCUUGCCAGUAACCCCCAAUUUUUACAGGUUGACCUCGGAUCAGGUAGGGAUACCCGCUGAACUUAAGCAUAUCAAUAAGCGGAGGAAAAGAAACCAACAGGGAUUACCUCAGUAACGGCGAGUGAAGCGGUAACAGCUCAAAUUUGAAAUCUGGGUCUUUCAGGCUCCGAGUUGUAAUUUGUAGAAGAUGCUUCGGGUGCGGCUCCGGUCUAAGUUCCUUGGAACAGGACGUCAUAGAGGGUGAGAAUCCCGUAUGUGAUCGGUAGCCUGCGCCCGUGUGAAGCUCUUUCGACGAGUCGAGUUGUUUGGGAAUGCAGCUCAAAAUGGGUGGUAAAUUUCAUCUAAAGCUAAAUAUUGGCCAGAGACCGAUAGCGCACAAGUAGAGUGAUCGAAAGAUGAAAAGCACUUUGGAAAGAGAGUUAAACAGUACGUGAAAUUGUUGAAAGGGAAGCGCUUGCAACCAGACUUGCGCGUUGCCGAUCAUCCGGGGUUCUCCCCGGUGCACUCGGCCUCGCUCAGGCCAGCAUCGGUUUUGGUGGUGGGAUAAAGGCCUUGGGAAUGUAGCUCCUCUCGGGGAGUGUUAUAGCCCUCGGUGCAAUGCCGCCUACUGGGACCGAGGACCGCGCUUCGGCUAGGAUGCUGGCGUAAUGGUUGUAAGCGACCCGUCUUGAAACACGG